ACUUAAACAAGCCCGACCAAAUGCAUUUCUUCUGUGUGACAGACAGACGCUUAAUCGGCGUGAAGAGGAUUUCCCACAGUACCUUGAAAUUCUCCGUAAUGCCUGCAAGUCAAGUGGCAAAAAAUUCCUCAGCGCUGAAACUUAUGAAGCACUGCUGCUGACAAGCAAGUCUACCGUUCUGUGUGUGAAGUACCUACUGGAGAGUGGAUUCUUUUAUGUUCUCACCAGGAACCUUUCCACCGAUCCGGUUGAGGUUCUCUUCAGCGCAUUGCGUCAAAUGGCAGGAUGCAACGACUGCCUAGAUGCUAGAGCUGUGACCUUCUCCCUGUAAAAGUUACUGCUGACAGGUAUCCUAUGUGCAUCACAAGCAUCAAAUGUGGGAAAUGGCCAGAGUGUUAUGAGCAUGCACAGUGCCUCUACAUCAGCCCCUUCGGACAGGAUUGUUGCAGACGUGCCCACAGGGAUACCUUCAGAAUCAGAGACAUUGAACAAUCCUCAAACCAUCUUUCCUGCAAGCAGCAGCAGUGCACUAUCUAGCUUUCUUGAACCACCCAGUUUUGUAGAUGAUGUCAUCAGUGUACUGGCACCCUUGAAAGUAAUGCCUU
Dermacentor silvarum is the source of this 605-nucleotide long non-coding RNA. RefSeq lists it as uncharacterized. The record is from RefSeq and is a predicted model, not a curated record. Lineage: Eukaryota; Metazoa; Arthropoda; Arachnida; Ixodida; Ixodidae. The transcript has 3 exons.